GCCCAAAUGCAGCACAAACAAACAAGUUUAGGGGGUACUUCCUUUGUAAGUUGGUAGUUUGACCAGAAUUGGAAAUGAAGAUGCUCGGGUCAAAUGGCUAGAUAAAAAUGGCCCAAAUUUGAUGGAGACCAAUGAUUUAGGCAUAUGGAUGCAAUGUAAAAUUUUCAUACCAUUUUCAUAAGUAAAAAUGGUACUUCCUUCACAGUGCUUCAAUCUGGACACAACCUUGGGAAAUUUACCUAGGAAGAUUUACUAGCUGAAAUGGGCUGAUUUUUGGUGUACAUGGGUAAUAUGUCAUAAUGUAUCACCCUGCAAAAUUUCAGCCGAAGGAAAUCUGUACAUAAUUUGCAAAGGGAUGUUGUGCUCAAUUUUU
Molecule: long non-coding RNA, 373 nt
Filed under: Hordeum vulgare
Lineage: Eukaryota; Viridiplantae; Streptophyta; Magnoliopsida; Poales; Poaceae
Description: long non-coding RNA (HVUL_LNC012613)
Source: RNAcentral